This 482-nucleotide ribosomal RNA is filed under the name uncultured bacterium. RNAcentral describes it as "partial 16S ribosomal RNA". It matches the Rfam family "Bacterial small subunit ribosomal RNA", at positions 30 to 507 of the family's 1533-position model. The record is from RNAcentral.
AUUGAACGCUGGCGGCAUGCCUUACACAUGCAAGUCGAACGGUAACAGGUCUUCGGAUGCUGACGAGUGGCGAACGGGUGAGUAAUACAUCGGAACGUGCCCGAUCGUGGGGGAUAACGGAGCGAAAGCUUUGCUAAUACCGCAUACGAUCUACGGAUGAAAGCAGGGGACCGCAAGGCCUUGCGCGGACGGAGCGGCCGAUGGCAGAUUAGGUAGUUGGUGGGAUAAAAGCUUACCAAGCCGACGAUCUGUAGCUGGUCUGAGAGGACGACCAGCCACACUGGGACUGAGACACGGCCCAGACGCCUGCGGGAGGCAGCAGUGGGGAAUUUUGGACAAUGGGCGAAAGCCUGAUCCAGCCAUGCCGCGUGCAGGAUGAAGGCCUUCGGGUUGUAAACUGCUUUUGUACGGAACAAAAAGACUCUUUCUAAUAAAGAGGGUCCAUGACGGUACCGGAAGAAUAAGCACCGGCUAACUACGCG